Molecule: long non-coding RNA, 1667 nt
Organism: Mesoplodon densirostris (Blainville's beaked whale)
Lineage: Eukaryota; Metazoa; Chordata; Mammalia; Artiodactyla; Ziphiidae
Exons: 3
Source: RefSeq, a predicted model, not a curated record
CUGCCGGGAAGGACCCCGCCGGCCCGGGCGGCUGCGCAGCGCCGCGGCGCCCCCGCCCGCCUGGCCUGGGGUCGGACCCGCAGCCCAGUAUUGCAUUCAGAAGGGAUCCUGGCGGGCGGAGACACAAGUCGGGAGACCUGAUUCUGCCUCUGCCACACCUGAGGCAACUCUCGCAGCCUCUCUAGGCCCAAGUUCCCUCAUCUAUAAAUAAAGUGGGACUUCCCUGGUGGUGCAGUGGUUAAGAAUCCGCCUGCCAAUGCAGGGGACACGAGUUCGAGCCCUGGUCCGGGAAGAUACCACAUGCCGCGGAGCAACUAAGCCCGUGCACCACAACUGCCGAGCCUGCGCUCUAGAGACUGUGAACCACAACUACUGAGCCUGCACCCUACAGCCCACGAGCCACAACUACUGAGCCCGUGAGCCACAACUACUGAAGACCACGCGCCUAGAGCCCAUGCUCUGCAAUAAGAGAAGCCACUGCAGCCCGCGCACCGCAACAAAGAGUAGCCCCUGCUCUCUGCAACUAGAGAUAGCCCGUGCGCAGCAACGAAGACCCAACGCAGCCAAAAAUAAAUAAAAUAAAUUAAUAAAAUAAAUAGAGCGGUUCAAGAAAGGACCUUAAGAGUCGCCCAUCAGAUUUGAAAUUCUGUGUGCAAACUGUUUCCCGAGGACAGCUGAAAGGAAGGUGAAGUCUUGGCAUCUCCUCUUUGAAGCUCAGGGAACCUUAAGGCUUCGACUCUACCAUACACAGAGGCUUCCAUGAAAGCUGUGAAGCCAUGAACAUCACACUCGUUGACAUCUGCUACUUUCGGAAGUAAAAGUUGGAGCACCUUCACAUUUCCAGCGAUGCCAGCAAGUAUGAAGGGAGUGGCUCCAUUCCUCUUCCGCAGACAAGGCUCAGCACCAUGAUUAAGCAGAAGAUUCACAAUGUCCUCGUUGCCACUUUGCACUGCAUUAUGCAAAGGUGACCAGCCCCAUUCUUCAUCCUGGAAAUUGACAUCAGCCCCUUUUUUUAGCAAUUGCUGGAUCCACUCAAUGUCUUCCUUUUUAGUAGCUUUAAUCAACAAUUUAUUGUCUUCCACUGAAGCCCUCCCAUUAGUAGCGGGUGUGGGUCUUUCCUGAGGAUUGUUAGGGCUCUUGGUCUCCAUGAUGGUAAAUACCACUGGUUACAAAUUUUUUGCCUUUUUUUCAAGAAAAUGAAAAACUUAUCUCCUUGGGAUUUGAUCAAAGAAACGUGGAACUCUUAGAAAAUCCUGUCAGGGUCAAUCAGAAUUAUCUGGCUACAGACCACCAGUAACAGGAAGGACAAUACUCUUGAAGUCUUCUGACUUUCCACCUGGAGAUGAGAGAGGAACUUUAUAAUUUUAUAAUAGUGAGAAAACAUUUAGACUUCCCUGGUGGUGCAGUGGUUAAGAAUCUGCCUGCCAAUGCAGGGGACACGGGUUUGAGCCCUGGUCUGGGAAGAUCCCACAUGCCGUGGAGCAACUAAGCUCGUGAGCCACAACUACUGAGCCCAUGUGCCACAACUACUGAAGCCCACGCACCUAGAGCCCAUACUCCACAACAAGAGAAGCCACCACAAUGAGAAGACUGUGCACCGCAACAAAAAGUAGCCCCUGCUCGCAGCAACUAGAGAAAGCCUGAACGCAGCAACGAAGACCCAAUGC